AUUUUCAUUUAAAUCAACUUGGUGAACACAAAAUUAUUUGUGAAAACAAUAAAAAAAUAUUUUCGAAAAUUCGUUAGUUGUGUUUGUGCUUUGAAUUCUAAAACUAUUUGUUAAUUCGGCUUAUUUAAACUAAAAUUUACAGAAAUCGUUUGAGAAUCUCUACACGAUUAUCUUUUCGUUAACAAAUUUAAACUGCGCAAAUCUUUUGAAACAUUUGUGUUUAAAAUUUUGAAAUUUUCAAUCUGAAUUUUUUCUGCUCAUCACUACGCAAUUCAAUUGACCUCAUGGCAUAUAUAAAGGUGAAACAUUCGAAUUUACUGCGUCUGGACGAUGACGCCAUACUGAGUGUUUGGCAUAAACUGGGACCAAUCGAUCGCGUACAAUUAGCUGGCGCCUGUAAACGCUUUCGCAAAAUAUUCGAAGAGCGUGAUGCCGCACAAUAUACAACAUUCAAAAUGGAGUGUCUGUGGCAGGUGUCCGUCAAAGAUAUUGAGAAUUAUGCCAAACUAGUGGGGCCACUCAUACAGGAGUUACGCGCCUACACGCCAUGCGUGGGUAAUGUCAGAGCAAAGAAAUUCCUUAAAGGCAUGACCGGUAAUUGUGAGCUGCUGCGACGUGUGGUCUUCAAAGGUGUACGUGUGGCAUUUCAGUUGUUCGAGUUGUUUGCAAAUGCGAAAUAUCUAACGGAGUUAUAUUUACAAAACUGUCGUCUAACCGAUAAGGAUGUGGAUAUGAUAACAAUGCUGUCCAAUUUAAUGAUACUUGAUUUGUCGAAAAAUAACGAUAUUACCGGUCACGGUUUAAGCGCACUCACCAAUCUGCGCGCUCUCUACUUGUCGAAUUGUAAAAGUUUGAAUCCCAUCAAUUUAGUGCAUGUCUUCAAAUGUGCCAAGCAUCUGUGUAUACUCGACAUCCAACAACCCUAUACGAAUACCAGCCUGGUGCCGGUCUUCCUCGAGCUGGGUCGUUAUUGUCGAAAUUUGGAUAAAUUGCGUGUAACCUUACCGGAACAUCGCCGUUAUGAAUCGCUUGCACGCCUGCCCAAAUUGACACAGAUUUUCGCUUAUGGCUAUGUGCGUCGCUUUCUCAUCGAUUUACGCAAUCAUCGCGCGCAUCAUAUGCAGGUGAUUUUUCUCGAAACUCUGCAGCAUGUACCAAUAGAUGCCACAUUUAUGCUGACACAGUUUCGUGAGUUGAGAAAGCUAGCUUGCGAUGGUGAUUUCGAGUUUACGCCGGGCUGUAUUGAUGGUUUUGAGAAUCUACGCAAACUUACGUGCAUCAAUCUCUACAAAACGGAUGCGUUAACACCCAAGGAUGUGUUGACACUUUUGAAGAAAUGCCCGAGAUUGAAGUUCGUGCAAUUAUUCUUCAAAGUCUUCAUUACCGAAGAGUUCAUAUUCGAAUUGAUCGAGGUGUUGGAGAAACGACCGGUUAAAGUUAAUUUCGUAAUGAAUUUACAGAAGUCCAAUAUACGUCGGGGUAUUACGAAGGAUCCACGUUACCUGAAUGCCAGAGAUACUUUAAAUAUUAUCUUCAGUGCUCAAUGUAUCGAUUGGGAUAAAUAAUUUCUAGAAAAAUUCAUGAAAUUACUUUUUUAAAGAUUUCUGUAUUGUGUGUUACAUUAUAAGUCCAACUAAAAAAGUGAUGAGCAAUUAGACAUCUGGAUUGAGAGUAGAGUGCUUCGCUGGUUCGAAAGAAAAGAAACAGUUAUUCUUCCCAAUAAGAAACGACAAGGGAACACUUAGGACUGCAUAAAAGACGCCAACAAGUAUAUUUAUCAUCGGCUCAAAAGAAAAGCGAAGGUGGAUAAAACAAGGACAGUCAAGUAGCUCUCAAUUACAAGU
Molecule: RNA transcript, 1844 nt
Organism: Zeugodacus cucurbitae (melon fly)
Lineage: Eukaryota; Metazoa; Arthropoda; Insecta; Diptera; Tephritidae
Exons: 4
Source: RefSeq, a predicted model, not a curated record